This 476-nucleotide ribosomal RNA is filed under the name uncultured bacterium. RNAcentral describes it as "bacterial SSU rRNA". It matches the Rfam family "Bacterial small subunit ribosomal RNA", at positions 28 to 507 of the family's 1533-position model. The record is from RNAcentral.
GAUGAACGCUAGCUACAGGCUUAACACAUGCAAGUCGAGGGGCAGCAUGGAGUUUGCUUGCAAACUCUGAUGGCGACCGGCGCACGGGUGAGUAACGCGUAUCCAACCUGCCCAUUACUCGGGCAUAGCCCAGUGAAAACUGGAUUAACUCCCGAUGCUGUUCUGAUUGGGCAUCUUAUCAGGACAAAAGUUUACGGUAAUGGAUGGGGAUGCGUCUGAUUAGGUAGUAGGCGGGGUAACGGCCCACCUAGCCGACGAUCAGUAGGGGUUCUGAGAGGAAGGUCCCCCACACUGGAACUGAGACACGGUCCAGACUCCUACGGGAGGCAGCAGUGAGGAAUAUUGGGUCAAUGGGCGAGAGCCUGAACCAGCCAAGUAGCGUGCAGGAAGACGGCCCUAUGGGUUGUAAACUGCUUUUAUGCGGGAAUAAGAUCAGAAGACGGUACCACUUGAAUAAGCCACGGCUAAACUACGUG